GAGGGUAUAGCUCAGAGGUAGAGCACAUGCUUAGCAUGCACGAGGUCCUGGGUUCAAUCCCCAGUACCUCCA
RNAcentral lists this transfer RNA (72 nucleotides) under Camelus bactrianus (Bactrian camel). It matches the Rfam family "tRNA". From Rfam's summary of the family: Transfer RNA (tRNA) molecules are approximately 80 nucleotides in length. Their secondary structure includes four short double-helical elements and three loops (D, anti-codon, and T loops). Further hydrogen bonds mediate the characteristic L-shaped molecular structure. tRNAs have two regions of fundamental functional importance: the anti-codon, which is responsible for specific mRNA codon recognition, and the 3' end, to which the tRNAs corresponding amino acid is attached (by aminoacyl-tRNA synthetases). tRNAs cope with the degeneracy of the genetic code in two manners: having more than one tRNA (with a specific anti-codon) for a particular amino acid; and 'wobble' base-pairing, i.e. permitting non-standard base-pairing at the 3rd anti-codon position. Lineage: Eukaryota; Metazoa; Chordata; Mammalia; Artiodactyla; Camelidae. The record is from Rfam by way of RNAcentral. RNAcentral also lists the same sequence under 2 other names.